RNAcentral lists this ribosomal RNA (492 nucleotides) under uncultured bacterium. RNAcentral describes it as "partial 16S ribosomal RNA". It matches the Rfam family "Bacterial small subunit ribosomal RNA", at positions 29 to 507 of the family's 1533-position model. The record is from RNAcentral.
AGUGAACGCUGGCGGUAGGCCUAACACAUGCAAGUCGAACGGCAGCACAGUAAGAGCUUGCUCUUACGGGUGGCGAGUGGCGGACGGGUGAGGAAUACAUCGGAAUCUACUUUUUCGUGGGGGAUAACGUAGGGAAACUUACGCUAAUACCGCAUACGACCUACGGGUGAAAUCAGGGGAUCUUCGGACCUUUCGCGAUUGAAUGAGCCGAUGUCGGAUUAGCUAGUUGGCGGGGUAAAGGCCCACCAAGGCGACGAUCCGUAGCUGGUCUGAGAGGAUGAUCAGCCACACUGGAACUGAGACACGGUCCAGACUCCUACGGGAGGCAGCAGUGGGGAAUAUUGGACAAUGGGCGCAAGCCUGAUCGAGCCACACCGCGUGGGUGAAGAAGGUCUUCGGGUUGUAAAGCCCUUUUGUUGGGAAAGAAAAGCAGCAGGUUAAUACCCCGCUGUUCUGACGGUACCCAAAGAGUAAGCACCGGCUAACUUCGUG